CCUACGGGAGACAGCAGUGAGGAAUAUUGGUCAAUGGUCGGGAGACUGCACCAGCCAAGCCGCGUGAGGGAUGCAGGUACAGAGUCUCGUAAACCUCUUUUGUCAGGGAACAAAGGCGGGGACGUGUCCCCGGAUGAGUGUACCUGUAGCAAAAGCAUCGGCUAACUCCGUGCCAGCCCCCGGGGUAAUCCGGGGGAUGCGAGCGUUAUCCGGGUUUAGUGGGUUUAAGGGGUUGGCGGGGGGUCGUUUAAGUCAACGGGAAAAACCCGGGGCUCAACCCCGCACCGCCGUUGAAACUGGCAGGCUCGAGUGGGAGAGAAGUAUGCGGAAUGCGCGGUGUAGCGGUGAAAUGCAUAGAUAUCGCGCAGAACUCCGAUUGCGAAGGCAGCAUGCCGGCUCCACACUGACGCUGAGGCACGAAAGCGUGGGUAUCGAACAGGAUUAGAUACCCUGGUAGUC
Molecule: ribosomal RNA, 459 nt
Filed under: uncultured bacterium
Lineage: Bacteria
Description: partial 16S ribosomal RNA
Rfam family: Bacterial small subunit ribosomal RNA
Source: RNAcentral